AGAUACCCUGGUAGUCACCGCCGUAAACGAUGAGUGCUAAGUGUAGAGGGUUUCCGCCCUUUAGUGCUGAAGUUAACGCAUCAAGCACUCCGCCUGGGGAGUACGGCCGCAAGGCUGAAACUCAAAGGAAUUGACGGGGGCCCGCACAAGCGGUGGAGCAUGUGGUUUAAUUCGAAGCAACGCGAAGAACCUUACCAGGUCUUGACAUCCUCUGACAACCCUAGAGAUAGGGCUUCUCCUUCGGGAGCAGAGUGACAGGUGGUGCAUGGUUGUCGUCAGCUCGUGUCGUGAGAUGUUGGGUUAAGUCCCGCAACGAGCGCAACCCUUGAUCUUAGUUGCCAUCAUUUAGUUGGGCACUCUAAGGUGACUGCCGGUGACAAACCGGAGGAAGGUGGGGAUGACGUCAAAUCAUCAUGCCCCUUAUGACCUGGGCUACACACGUGCUACACUGGACGGUACAAAGAGCUGCAAGACCGCGAGGUGGAGCUAAUCUCAUAAAACCGUUCUCAGUUCGGAUUGUAGGCUGCAACUCGCCUACAUGAAGCUGGAAUCGCUAGUAAUCGCGGAUCAGCAUGCCGCGG
Molecule: ribosomal RNA, 581 nt
Filed under: Bacillus paramycoides
Lineage: Bacteria; Bacillati; Bacillota; Bacilli; Caryophanales; Bacillaceae
Description: bacterial SSU rRNA
Rfam family: Bacterial small subunit ribosomal RNA
Source: RNAcentral